RNAcentral lists this non-coding RNA (30 nucleotides) under Mus musculus (house mouse). Lineage: Eukaryota; Metazoa; Chordata; Mammalia; Rodentia; Muridae. The record is from RNAcentral.
UGGAUGUUCAGAGAAGAUGUCUUUAUGCCC